CGCGCGCUUACGUACGCACGCGCUCGUGCUCGUGCCUCCUGCGUGGCGCGUCCGUCGCGCCUCCGAAAUGGGUCUGGAGCUGAGACUGGAACUUAGGCCAUCAGCUCUUCUGAUUCUCAGGCUUUGGAACUUGGAGUGGAACCAUACCGACUGCUCUCCUGGGUCUUCAGCUUGCUGACUACAGAUCAUAAGACAUCUCAGCCUCCAUGAUCACAUGGUCCACUCCAGCAGCUCUUUUUAACUGCUCCAGAAGGAACAGCUCUUUUUAACUGCUCUUUUAAACCUGGUCAGUCCUCUCUACCUAAAAAUGAGGAGAUCUCAAUCUUCUCUGGAGUCGAACUCAUUUUGGAUCACCAGUAUAUUCAUUAGGUAAUGAAAAUCAACUUUGUGUUUUGAUUUGUUACUGUAUGAUUUAUUACUGUUUAAUUUGUAUACUGCAGGGUUUCCCAACAUUUUACUGUUGACAUUUUGAG
This is a long non-coding RNA of Lutra lutra (Eurasian river otter), 473 nucleotides long. RefSeq lists it as uncharacterized. NCBI's taxonomy places the organism in Eukaryota, Metazoa, Chordata, Mammalia, Carnivora, Mustelidae. The transcript has 3 exons. The record is from RefSeq and is a predicted model, not a curated record.